Molecule: unclassified non-coding RNA, 240 nt
Filed under: soil metagenome
Description: partial contains 5.8S ribosomal RNA, internal transcribed spacer 2, and large subunit ribosomal RNA
Source: RNAcentral
AACCAUAGAAACCUGCGGAGUACCUGCGGAAGGAUCAUUACAGAGUUGCAAAACUCCCUAAACCAUUGUGAACGUUACCUAAACCGUUGCUUCGGCGGGCGGCCCGGGUCCUUCCCGGCGCCCCUCGGCCCUCGCGGGCGCCCGCCGGAGGUAAACCAAACUGUUGCAUUGUAUGGCCUCUCUGAGUCUUCUGUACUGAAUAAGUCAAAACUUUCAACAAUGGAUCUCAGAUCGGAAGAG